RNAcentral lists this ribosomal RNA (484 nucleotides) under uncultured bacterium. Its description in RNAcentral is "partial 16S ribosomal RNA". It matches the Rfam family "Bacterial small subunit ribosomal RNA", at positions 30 to 507 of the family's 1533-position model. The record is from RNAcentral.
AUUGAACGCUGGCGGCAGGCCUAACACAUGCAAGUCGAGCGGAUGAAGGGAGCUUGCUCCUGGAUUCCGCGGCGGACGGGUGAGUAAUGCCUAGGAAUCUGCCUGGUAGUGGGGGCUAACGUCCGGACACGGGCGCUAAUACCGCAUCCGUCCUGAGGGAGAAAGUGGGGGAUCUUCGGACCUCACGCUAUCUGCUGAGCCUAGGUCGGAUUAGCUAGUUGGUGGGGUAAAGGCCUACCAAGGCGACGAUCCGUAACUGGUCUGAGAGGAUGAUCAGUCACACUGGAACUGAGACACGGUCCAGACUCCUACGGGAGGCAGCAGUAGGGAAUAUUGGACAAUGGGCGAAAGCCAGACCCAGCCAUGCCGCGUGUGUGAAGAAGGUCUUCGGAUUGUAAAGCACUUUUAGUUGGGAGGAAGGGCAGUAAGUUAAUACCUGGCUGUUUUGACGUUACCAACAGAAUAAGCACCGGCUAACUUCGUG